GUCGUCGCUGAGUUAGAGAUCGGCGAACGAUGUAUUAUCAACCACUCGUUUAUGAGGAUUUAAUUAUGUCUCUAAGUACAGAAAAAAAAGCAGCUAUCGUUGCUGAAUUUGGUCGUGAUGC
Molecule: non-coding RNA, 121 nt
Filed under: uncultured Actinobacillus sp.
Lineage: Bacteria; Pseudomonadati; Pseudomonadota; Gammaproteobacteria; Pasteurellales; Pasteurellaceae
Description: Ribosomal S15 leader
Rfam family: Ribosomal S15 leader
About the family: The E. coli Ribosomal S15 gene 5' UTR can form two alternative structures.
Source: RNAcentral